This 460-nucleotide ribosomal RNA is filed under the name uncultured bacterium. Its description in RNAcentral is "partial 16S ribosomal RNA". It matches the Rfam family "Bacterial small subunit ribosomal RNA", at positions 338 to 795 of the family's 1533-position model. The record is from RNAcentral.
CCUACGGGAGGCAGCAGUGAGGAAUAUUGGUCAAUGGACGAGAGUCUGAACCAGCCAAGUAGCGUGAAGGAUGACUGCCCUAUGGGUUGUAAACUUCUUUUAUAUGGGAAUAAAAUGUUCCACGUGUGGGAUUUUGUAUGUACCAUAUGAAUAAGGAUCGGCUAACUCCGUGCCAGCAGCCGCGGUAAUAGGGAGGAUCCGAGCGUUAUCCGGAUUUAUUGGGUUUAAAGGGAGCGUAGGUUGAUUGUUAAGUCAGUUGUGAAAGUUUGCGGCUCAACCGUAAAAUUGCAGUUGAAACUGGAAGUCUUGAGGACGUUAGAGGUGGGCGGAAUGCGUGGUGUAGCGGUGAAAUGCUUAGAUAUCACGAAGAACUCCGAUUGCGAAGGCAGCUCACUGAACUGCAACUGACACUGAGGCUCGAAAGUGUGGGUAUCAAACAGGAUUAGAUACCCCUGUAGUC